RNAcentral lists this ribosomal RNA (544 nucleotides) under Trichodactylus sp. 4 FLM-2013. RNAcentral describes it as "partial 16S ribosomal RNA". It matches the Rfam family "Bacterial large subunit ribosomal RNA", at positions 1827 to 2606 of the family's 2925-position model. The record is from RNAcentral. Lineage: Eukaryota; Metazoa; Arthropoda; Malacostraca; Decapoda; Trichodactylidae.
AAACAUGUCUAUUUGGAGGUUUAAAAAGUCUAGCCUGCCCACUGAUAAUAAGAAUAGUUAAAGGGCCGCGGUAUUUUGACCGUGCAAAGGUAGCAUAAUCAUUAGUCUUUUAAUUGAAGGCUUGCAUGAAUGGUUGGACAAAGGAAAAUCUGUCUUUAUGAUAUUAUUUGAAUUUAACUUUUAAGUGAAAAGGCUUAAAUAGACCGGGGGGACGAUAAGACCCUAUAAAACUUUAUAUAGAAUUAAAUUUGGUUAAAUUUAAAUAUUAAAAAUCUGAGUUAAUAAUUAUAUUUUGUUGGGGCGACAUAGGUAUAAAUAAUUAUAGUAACUGUUUAAAUAUAAUACUAUAAAUUUAUGAGUUAUAAUUAUAAAUGAUCCUUAUUAAAGAUUAAAAGAUUAAGUUACUUUAGGGAUAACAGCGUAAUUUUUUUCGAGAGUUCAUAUCGAAAAAAAAGUUUGCGACCUCGAUGUUGAAUUAAAAUAUCUAUAUAAUGUAGCUGUUAUAAAAGAAGGUCUGUUCGACCUUUAAAUUUUUACGUGAUCU